GUCUCAAAAUUACUCAACACGAUUAUUGGGGAAGAGAAUAAGAAUUAUGAUGCAGAUUUUAAGAGGAUAAAGAUAUUAAAUGAUGAAACGAAGAUGGUAGAGCUUGGUAGCCAUCGAGAAAAUAUUAUGCCUUCUAAUCCUAAUAUUUCAGCUGUAAUUGACAAAGUAGGACUGUUAAUUGAGAAAGAUAAUGAAUUGACAGUAG
This is a long non-coding RNA of Gordionus sp. m RMFG-2023, 205 nucleotides long. RefSeq lists it as uncharacterized. The transcript has 4 exons. NCBI's taxonomy places the organism in Eukaryota, Metazoa, Nematomorpha, Gordioida, Chordodea, Parachordodidae. The record is from RefSeq and is a predicted model, not a curated record.